AACGAACGCUGGCGGCAUGCCUAACACAUGCAAGUCGAACGAGACCUUCGGGUCUAGUGGCGCACGGGUGCGUAACGCGUGGGAACCUGCCCUUAGGUUCGGAAUAACUCCCCGAAAGGGGUGCUAAUACCGGAUAAUGUCUUCGGACCAAAGAUUUAUCGCCUUUGGAUGGGCCCGCGUUGGAUUAGCUAGUUGGUAGGGUAAAAGCCUACCAAGGCGACGAUCCAUAGCUGGUCUGAGAGGAUGAUCAGCCACACUGGGACUGAGACACGGCCCAGACUCCUGGGAGGCAGCAGUGGGGAAUAUUGGACAAUGGGCGAAAGCCUGAUCCAGCAAUGCCGCGUGAGUGAUGAAGGCCUUAGGGUUGUAAAGCUCUUUUACCCGGGAUGAUAAUGACAGUACCGGGAGAAUAAGCUCCGGCUAACUCCGUG
Molecule: ribosomal RNA, 431 nt
Filed under: uncultured bacterium
Lineage: Bacteria
Description: partial 16S ribosomal RNA
Rfam family: Bacterial small subunit ribosomal RNA
Source: RNAcentral